CUGGUUGAUCCUGCCAGUAGUCAUAUGCUUGUCUCAAAGACUAAGCCAUGCAUGUCUAAGUAUAAAUGUUAUACAGUGAAACUGCGAAUGGCUCAUUAAAACAGUUAUAGUUUAUUUGAUAAUCGAAUUUUACAUGGAUAACCGUGGUAAUUCUAGAGCUAAUACAUGCUGGUUAGCCUGACUUCUAGGAAGGGCUGUAUUUAUUAGAUAACAAACCAAUAUUCCUCGUGUCUAUUGUGAUGACUCAUAAUAACUGAUCGAAUCGCAUGGGCCUUGCCCGCGAUACAUCAUUCAAGUUUCUGCCCCAUCAGCUUUCGAUGGUAGUGUAUUGGACUACCAUGGCUUUAACGGGUAACGGAGGAUUAGGGUUCGAUUCCGGAGAGGGAGCCUGAGAAACGGCUACCACAUCUAAGGAAGGCAGCAGGCGCGUAAAUUACCCAAUCCUGACUCAGGGAGGUAGUGACAAGAAAUAACGGACCGAGGCUUCACGCUUCGGGAUUGCAAUGAGUAGAAUUUAAACCCCUUUACGAGGAUCAAUUGGAGGGCAAGUCUGGU
Molecule: ribosomal RNA, 555 nt
Filed under: uncultured ciliate
Lineage: Eukaryota; Ciliophora
Description: SSU rRNA
Rfam family: Eukaryotic small subunit ribosomal RNA
Source: RNAcentral